Molecule: ribosomal RNA, 472 nt
Filed under: uncultured bacterium
Lineage: Bacteria
Description: partial 16S ribosomal RNA
Rfam family: Bacterial small subunit ribosomal RNA
Source: RNAcentral
UGGGGAAUUUUGGACAAUGGGCGAAAGCCUGAUCCAGCAAUGCCGCGUGUGUGAAGAAGGCCUUCGGGUUGUAAAGCACUUUUGUCCGGAAAGAAAUCCUUGGCUCUAAUACGGUCGGGGGAUGACGGUACCGGAAGAAUAAGCACCGGCUAACUACGUGCCAGCAGCCGCGGUAAUACGUAGGGUGCAAGCGUUAAUCGGAAUUACUGGGCGUAAAGCGUGCGCAGGCGGUUUGCUAAGAUCGAUGUGAAAUCCCGGGCUCAACCUGGGAACUGCAUUGGUGACUGGGCAGGCUAGAGUAUGGCAGAGGGGGGUAGAAUUCCACGUGUAGCAGUGAAAUGCGUAGAGAUGUGGAGGAAUACCGAUGGCGAAGGCAGCCCCCUGGGCCAAUACUGACGCUCAUGCACGAAAGCGUGGGGAGCAAACAGGAUUAGAUACCCUGGUAGUCCACGCCCUAAACGAUGUCAACUAG